GUUCUUUGGACUUCUGUAUAGAGUUACCAUGUAAACUCAGUAUGUGGCAUAUGUGCUGGGAAGACUCUCCUUUCUCUCAGUGACUUUAUAUCUGUCCAUUUUGAGUUGUAUAUUUGUCUCAGAUGUGAGCUUCUGACCAUCUAAUUUAACCUCACUUCAGCUUUUAUGUGCCACUGCAAUUUUUCAAGCACUUCCUCCCACCACCUUGCCCUCCUUAUUUGAGCUUGUGUUAGUGAUACAGGUAAGUAUUACCCUUGUUUCACAGUGGGCAAAAAUUGAGGUAGGAUAGAGAAUUUGUCCAAGCCCAAAUGAUGAAUCACUGGUUGGAUUAUUGUAGUCCAAUGUUUUCUGACUCCUAGUCCAUGCUUAUUUUACAGACUUUGCUAUUUAAAACCUGUCCCUACCUUCUGGCACCCUGUUAAUUUCUCCAGCACAGCCAGUUCCUUUGUGCUGUCUGCAUAGCAGACCUUCAAGUGAAAUUACUGAGCUCUUUGUCUGUAUGUGCUCUCGUUGCCAUCCAUCCACACUCAUUCAGCUGCCUCUGUAUAUUGUAGACUAGAACAUGAAUCCAUGGAAAAAGAGUCUUCUGAACCCAUCUGCCUACUAUAAGGAGAAAUCCUGAAGUUCAAGAUAAGAUAAACACAGCCUUGUAAAAAAAAAAAAAAAUUUUUUUUUUCUGAUUCAUUUGCAUAUGUGCAUGUGCCCCCUUUAAAUGAAACACUGCUCUAGGGUAGGGCCAGUGCCUACAUCUUUGAACCUUUUACAAUAAAUAUUGUCCAAAAAUAUAAAAGACCA
This 795-nucleotide long non-coding RNA is filed under the name Apteryx owenii (little spotted kiwi). RNAcentral describes it as "lncRNA (ENSAOWG00000009821.1)". Lineage: Eukaryota; Metazoa; Chordata; Aves; Apterygiformes; Apterygidae. The record is from RNAcentral.